UGCAGUCGAGCGGAACGAUCCUAGCUUGCUAGGAGGCGUCGAGCGGCGGACGGGUGAGUAAUGCAUAGGAAUCUGCCCGGUAGUGGGGGAUAACUUGAGGAAACUCAAGCUAAUACCGCAUACGCCCUACGGGGGAAAGCAGGGGCUCUUCGGACCUUGCGCUAUCGGAUGAGCUUAUGUCGGAUUAGCUGGUUGGUGAGGUAACGGCUCACCAAGGCGACGAUCCGUAGCUGGUCUGAGAGGAUGAUCAGCCACAUCGGGACUGAGACACGGCCCGAACUCCUACGGGAGGCAGCAGUGGGGAAUAUUGGACAAUGGGGGCAACCCUGAUCCAGCCAUGCCGCGUGUGUGAAGAAGGCCCUCGGGUUGUAAAGCACUUUCAGCGAGGAAGAAUGCUUGUCGGUUAAUACCCGGCAAGGGAGACAUCACUCGCAGAAGAAGCACCGGCUAACUCCGUGCCAGCAGCCGCGGUAAUACGGAGGGUGCGAGCGUUAAUCGGAAUUACUGGGCGUAAAGCGUGCGUAGGCGGCUUGAUAAGCCGGUUGUGAAAGCCCCGGGCUCAACCUGGGAACGGCAUCCGGAACUGUUAGGCUAGAGUGCAGGAGAGGAAGGUAGAAUUCCCGGUGUAGCGGUGAAAUGCGUAGAGAUCGGGAGGAAUACCAGUGGCGAAGGCGGCCUUCUGGACUGACACUGACGCUGAGGUACGAAAGCGUGGGUAGCAAACAGGAUUAGAUACCCUGGUAGUCCACGCCGUAAACGAUGUCGACUAGCCGUUGGGGUCCUCGAGACCUUUGUGGCGCAGUUAACGCACUAAGUCGACCGCCUGGGGAGUACCGGCCGCAAGGUUAAAACUCAAAUGAAUUGACGGGGGCCCGCACAAGCGGUGGAGCAUGUGGUUUAAUUCGAUGCAACGCGAAGAACCUUACCU
RNAcentral lists this ribosomal RNA (928 nucleotides) under Halomonas elongata. RNAcentral describes it as "bacterial SSU rRNA". It matches the Rfam family "Bacterial small subunit ribosomal RNA", at positions 56 to 976 of the family's 1533-position model. The record is from RNAcentral. Lineage: Bacteria; Pseudomonadati; Pseudomonadota; Gammaproteobacteria; Oceanospirillales; Halomonadaceae.